This is a long non-coding RNA of Harpia harpyja (harpy eagle), 2677 nucleotides long. RefSeq lists it as uncharacterized. The record is from RefSeq and is a predicted model, not a curated record. Lineage: Eukaryota; Metazoa; Chordata; Aves; Accipitriformes; Accipitridae. The transcript is spliced from 3 exons.
CCACCACCAACCAAACUGUUUCACAUGUACUCCAAAGCUUGAAUACGCUGAAACUGAAUACAUUGAUGCAGAGAGAUGACAAUGUUACUCAACAAUAACCACUUUCUCCAAGGCCUUUCAGAAACAGUUCAAGCAUUUUGCCAGCUUAAAAAAAAAAUAAUAAAAAUGUCAGCCCAAGGCAAAGAACAAGCUUGGAAACUAAAGAACCUGAACAGUUAAAACUAGAAGCAACUCGACCAGGAACACAUAAUGGAAAACUGUAUGCAACCACCAUCGCUGCCAACUUCACAUACUUGAAGCUGGGUUCUCCUUGCAGGAGAUGAUUACACUUAGGAGUGAGAAACAAAGAGGGAUUAAGUGAGAUUCAUCUGCAUCAUUCAAACAAUGCUGAAUUUGGAGAUACUGUGUGAAAUUCCUUCUGCUGUCUGGGAUUUAAUCACCAAUGGAUUAGAUGAUAGAAACUAGAGUAUCUGAGUUCAUCAGCUUGACCUGGACAGCCCAGCACCAAAAAACAUAGGAAGAAACUGCUGGCAAGGAUUAAGGAUUCAGCCUGCUCUUUCCCCGUUGGUCUCCUGGUACCUGUCAUGGUUGUUGGGAUGGAAAGCACUGGUGGCAUCCUUGAAGACGGCCGAUUGCUCCAGAUGCUUUCAGGCCAGGCGUCUGUUAGAAAGUUUACAUGCAUCAGACCGGCUUUGAUCUGCCUCUGCCAGAAGAGCCAGGACUUGCCUCCACUGCAGGCAGUGACAGCAAAAGCAUGUCUUCUGGCUUUGAGCUGGGGACACGGUCAUCCUGGUCAUCCGCACGCUGUCUUCCUAAAGGCAGAUGGCACUUCUCUGGGGGGAGCUGCUGGCCAGCAGGUUUGCCUGGGAAGGAGCUCCUGCCCGGCCAGGGCAUUUGCAGGACAACCUGGCAGGAGCGGUCGGAGGAGCAACCCCUGGAGCACCCCCUCCAUCACUGAGCUUCCUCACAACUUCCAUUUGAUGGAAGAAAGCAACGUUUCAAAAGACACUGUAAUUAUUUCUUUCAUCCUGUUUUAAUCUUGCUUUUGGAAAUCUCUCACUGAAGAAUCGCUUUAGAGAAAUUCAAAUGAAAACAGUAACAGAGAAGUGCAGCCGGUGUUAUUUCACUGCGAUAAAGCCAAGCUGGAUGGCAGGUGCUUGGGGAAAUAUGAGGGAAAAUUGUUUAUAUCAGAACUCUUUUCUUUGAUAAGUUUUGUCUUCCAGUAAUAAAAACCUGGAUGCUCAUCUUGUAAAGCCUCCCUUUUUUUGCUACCAGAUGCUGGAGCUUGAAUUUUUGCCUACAUCAGUUUAACCCCUCUUUGUGCUCCUUUGCAUUUCCAAGCUGGACUUAACAGGCAAACAAACAUAACUUGGGAAAUGCCAGCUACACACAUUGCUCUCAACCGUAGGAUGGGCAAGCAGCAUCGCCUGAACAGGCAGACCCAGUAUUUAACGUACUACCAAAACAAAUAUGCCAAGGGGUUUUGCCAGCCAUCUGGAUCACAGAAACGGGAGGUGGAAAAGAGCAGGUAGGUUUUUACAGUGCAUUUUCCUGCCAAAGCAGGAUUGUUCCCUGCAAUAUCUUCUAGUGUACUUCCCUGGCCUGUUUUAAAUGACCUUGGAGAAUGGGGAGAGGCGGGAGGCAGGAAUCUGCUAGUACUCUCCAGAGUCUCUUUGUCUAGUUUGAAUAAUAUAAUGUGGAGCAAGGGCAAAUGGGUGUUCAGAGAAUUUAGCUACAACACAAUAUUUAAUGUAAUUUUUGCAUGCUUUUUCAUCUCCAACCUACUUGCUAUGCCUGCCACUGUGCCAGUAACAUCAGAUAGAUGUAAAAAAAAAAGAAAAGUAACAAAAAUAGUGGCAAUACUCCAUCUUUGGAUGAUUGCUCUUCUUUUUCUUAGCAGGAGAUUGUCUUGGGUGCUUUCUUCCCCUGCGAGGAAAAAUGAAUAGUGAGAGCUGUGAUGAUUGGCACUAAGCCUGAGAACAGCAGAUGUGAGCCUGCACAGCUGGACAAAGAAAAAAAUGCACUUUGCUCCCUACAUUUGUAUUAAGGUUGCCCCAGGGAUACGCCAGUGACUACGGAGGGGACUUAGCACAGGAACAGCCAAAGCCAUCAGGCACAUUUACAUAUAUAAGAACACUCGCUGUCCUUUUCAAAGUCAAAGAGAGCAACGAUUAAAGCAACAUAAAGGAAAUUUGGCUGCGUGGUUUUUCUCUCCAAUAAUAGAAUGACUGAGGGUGGAAAUAUUAAAAAAAAAUUAGGCCUGACAGAGGUGAUGAAUUUAUGAAUUAAACCAGCACAUUUUCAUUUCAUUUACUGUUGUCUACCAGUUUAUUACAUGGGAAUCUAAAAGGGACUUGAUUGCCUCCCAGGCUGCAGUCGUUAUGCCAGACACUAAAGUUAGAUGUUUUAGAUAAGAUUUUAAUAUUAAAGAUUCUUACACAAAAAGGAAGGAACCUUGCUAAAUAGGGAAAAUUAAAAAGCCUAAUUCCUCUCCAUGGUGCUUUAGCGUAGUUUUGCACUCCGGGGUUUGCCACAAUGUUUGCUGGGAUUUAUCAUCAAAAAAAGUGUGGGACAGGGCGUGUUUUAACUAAAACUAUUAAAAAACUCGGAAUUUCCUACACUGCAUAGCCUGCACAUCCUUAUUUCGAGUUGCAUCUACCAAGAACCCCGUUCUCCC